AGAGUUUGAUCCUGGCUCAGAAUCAACGCUGGCGGCGCGCUUAACACAUGCAAGUCGCACGAGAAAGGGGCAACCUGAGUAAAGUGGCGUACGGGUGAGUAACACGUGGAUUAUCUACCUUUUAGUGGGGAAUAACCCUGGGAAACCGGGGCUAAUACCGCAUAAGCUCGUGAGAGGAAACCCGCAAGGGGCUGAAAGAG
This 200-nucleotide ribosomal RNA is filed under the name uncultured bacterium. RNAcentral's name for it is "partial 16S ribosomal RNA". It matches the Rfam family "Bacterial small subunit ribosomal RNA", at positions 8 to 226 of the family's 1533-position model. The record is from RNAcentral.